GUGGGUUACGGAGACAUGAGACCGGUGACAGUAGGGGGGAAAAUUGUGGGGUCCUUAUGCGCUAUCGCUGGGGUGUUGACCAUUGCCCUACCGGUUCCCGUGAUCGUAUCCAAC
This is a regulatory RNA element of Scleropages formosus (Asian bonytongue), 114 nucleotides long. It matches the Rfam family "Potassium channel RNA editing signal". From Rfam's summary of the family: This family represents a group of sequences related to the human potassium channel Kv1.1 hairpin element which directs the efficient modification of an adenosine to inosine by an adenosine deaminase acting on RNA (ADAR). The record is from Rfam. NCBI's taxonomy places the organism in Eukaryota, Metazoa, Chordata, Actinopteri, Osteoglossiformes, Osteoglossidae.